Molecule: ribosomal RNA, 484 nt
Filed under: uncultured bacterium
Lineage: Bacteria
Description: partial 16S ribosomal RNA
Rfam family: Bacterial small subunit ribosomal RNA
Source: RNAcentral
AUUGAACGCUGGCGGCAGGCCUAACACAUGCAAGUCGAGCGGAUGAAGGGAGCUUGCUCCUGGAUUCAGCGGCGGACGGGUGAGUAAUGCCUAGGAAUCUGCCUGGUAGUGGGGGAUAACGUCCGGAAACGGGCGCUAAUACCGCAUACGUCCUGAGGGGGAAAGUGGGGGAUCUUCGGACCUCACGCUAUCAGAUGAGCCUAGGUCGGAUUAGCUAGUUGGUGGGGUAAAGGCCUACCAAGGCGACGAUCCGUAACUGGUCUGAGAGGAUGAUCAGUCACACUGGAACUGAGACACGGUCCAGACUCCUACGGGAGGCAGCAGUGGGGAAUAUUGGACGAUGGGCGAAAGCCUGAUCCAGCCAUGCCGCGUGUGUGAAGAAGGUCUUCGGAUUGUAAAGCACUUUAAGUUGGGAGGAAGGGCAGUAAGUUAAUACCUUGCUGUUUUGACGUUACCAACAGAAUAAGCACCGGCUAACCUCGUG